RNAcentral lists this long non-coding RNA (552 nucleotides) under Setaria viridis. RNAcentral's name for it is "long non-coding RNA (SVIR_LNC004325)". The record is from RNAcentral. Lineage: Eukaryota; Viridiplantae; Streptophyta; Magnoliopsida; Poales; Poaceae.
UUAGACUCGGCCGAUCAAGUUAGGCAACGAGCGAUUGCGGCCAUUAAUGCCCUCCUUGGAUGAACUGCAAAAAUGCUGGCUGCUCUGUAAAAAAAACAUUAAUGUCAUUUUGACCGUUUGAUAUGCAAAUCCAAUUCUGACCCGUCCUUCGUGGCGGCCUUUCAUUUAUUACUCCUUUUACUCCGAUGGGACGUGUCUUACCAAACUUUCGCCCCUUUUCUUUUUAUAAGUACGGGACCCCGUAUUGUUUCCAAGGGCACUUGCCUCCCUCGUCCUCUUCUCCUCUGGUAGUUCACACCAUCGGACUAUUCACCGAGAUGUCUUCUUCAUCUUCUUCCUUUUCCUCCUCCUCCGUCAACUAGGUAUGAGAUCUUUCCUUCACCCUCUAUUUCCUGGCUUGACAUUUUGAUCAGCCUGACGUCGAGAGGUUGUUUGUCGAUUUUCAGCCGAGACGCCUUAUUCCCGAAUUGGAACGAGCAAUCAAGAUCAUGCACUCUGAUGAACCCUUAUCGCAGGAGGAUAGAGAUUUGAUCAGAGCCCACCGCGAAGAAC